GUCACAGUCGCCUAAUGGAUAAGGCAUCAGCCUUCUAAGCUGACGGGUGUGGGUUCGAGUCCCACCUGUGAUA
Molecule: transfer RNA, 73 nt
Filed under: Lepocinclis playfairiana
Lineage: Eukaryota; Euglenozoa; Euglenophyceae; Euglenales; Phacaceae
Description: tRNA-Arg
Rfam family: tRNA
About the family: Transfer RNA (tRNA) molecules are approximately 80 nucleotides in length.
Source: RNAcentral